This 435-nucleotide ribosomal RNA is filed under the name uncultured bacterium. RNAcentral's name for it is "partial 16S ribosomal RNA". It matches the Rfam family "Bacterial small subunit ribosomal RNA", at positions 28 to 507 of the family's 1533-position model. The record is from RNAcentral.
GAUGAACGCUGGCGGUAUGCUUAACACAUGCCAGUCGAACGGACUCUUCGGAGUUAGUGGCGGACGGGUGAGUAACGCGUGAGAAUCUGGCUUUGGGUUCGGGACAACCACUGGAAACGGUGGCUAAUACCGGAUGUGCCGAGAGGUAAAAGAGAAAUUGCCUGAAGAUGAGCUCGCGUCUGAUUAGCUAGUUGGUGAGGUAAAGGCUCACCAAGGCAGCGAUCAGUAGCUGGUCUGAGAGGAUGACCAGCCACACUGGGACUGAGACACGGCCCAGACUCCUACGGGAGGCAGCAGUGGGGAAUUUUCCGCAAUGGGCGAAAGCCUGACGGAGCAGUACCGCGUGAGGGAAGAAGGCUCUUGGGUUGUAAACCUCUUUUCUUAGGGAAGAGCAAAAUGACGGUACCUAAGGAAUCAGCAUCGGCUAACUCCGUG